Long non-coding RNA from Sinocyclocheilus anshuiensis, 95 nucleotides. RefSeq lists it as uncharacterized. The transcript has 3 exons. NCBI's taxonomy places the organism in Eukaryota, Metazoa, Chordata, Actinopteri, Cypriniformes, Cyprinidae. The record is from RefSeq and is a predicted model, not a curated record.
UUCUAGACUCUUCCUCUGUAGCUCUUUUUCAGCCAGCCUAAUGAGAGACACAUGCAAGAUAACGUAUAAUGAGGAUUAAAGGGGUCAUAUGAUGC